Molecule: ribosomal RNA, 462 nt
Filed under: uncultured Sphingobacteriales bacterium
Lineage: Bacteria; Pseudomonadati; Bacteroidota; Sphingobacteriia; Sphingobacteriales
Description: bacterial SSU rRNA
Rfam family: Bacterial small subunit ribosomal RNA
Source: RNAcentral
CCCGCACAAGCGGUGGAGCAUGUGGUUUAAUUCGAUGAUACGCGAGGAACCUUACCUGGGCUUAAAUGUAGAGUGCAUUUUUUAGAGAUAGAAAUUCCCUUCGGGGCUUUUCUGCAAGGUGCUGCAUGGUUGUCGUCAGCUCGUGCCGUGAGGUGUCGGGUUAAGUCCCAUAACGAGCGCAACCCUUAUCGUUAGUUGCCAUCUGGUAAUGCAGGGGACUCUAGCGAAACUGCCACCGUAAGGUGAGAGGAAGGUGGGAUGACGUCAAAUCAGCACGGCCCUUAUGUCCAGGGCUACACACGUGUUACAAUGGUCGGUACAGAGGGCAGCUACCUGGUGACAGGAUGCUAAUCUCGAAAACCGGUCUCAGUUCGGAUCGAAGUCUGCAACUCGACUUCGUGAAGCUGGAUUCGCUAGUAAUCGCGCAUCAGCUAUGGCGCGGUGAAUACGUUCCCGGGCCUU